Molecule: ribosomal RNA, 468 nt
Filed under: uncultured bacterium
Lineage: Bacteria
Description: partial 16S ribosomal RNA
Rfam family: Bacterial small subunit ribosomal RNA
Source: RNAcentral
GACGAACGCUGGCGGCGUGCUUAACACAUGCAAGUCGAACGGAAAGGCCCUGCUUUUGUGGGGUGCUCGAGUGGCGAACGGGUGAGUAACACGAGUGUCACCUGCUCUUCUUUGGGGUAUCUUUACGAGACACUGGCUCAUAUAGCGUAUAAGCGCUCCCUGCGCGGGGGGGGGGGGAGAGAGUUUCGGCGGUUGGGGAUGGACUCGCGGCUUAUCAGCUUGUUGGUGGGGUAGUGGCUUACCAAGGCUUUGACGGGUAGCCGGCCUGAGAGGGUGACCGGCCACAUUGGGACUGAGAUACGGCCCAGGCUCCUACGGGAGGCAGCAGUGGGGAAUAUUGCACAAUGGGCGGAAGCCUGAUGCAGCAACGCCGCGUGCGGGAUGACGGCCUUCGGGUUGUAAACCGCUUUCGCCUGUGACGAAGCGUGAGUGACGGUAAUGGGUAAAGAAGCACCGGCUAACUACGUG